Molecule: ribosomal RNA, 254 nt
Filed under: uncultured bacterium
Lineage: Bacteria
Description: partial 16S ribosomal RNA
Rfam family: Bacterial small subunit ribosomal RNA
Source: RNAcentral
UACAGAGGGGGCAAGCGUUAUUCGGAAUUAUUGGGCGUAAAAGGGCGCGUAGGCGGCCUGGCAAGUGGAAGGUGAAAUCCCUCGGCUUAACCGAGGAACUGCCCUCCAAACUGCUUGGCUUGAGUCCGGGAGAGGUGAGUGGAAUUCCCAGUGUAGCGGUGAAAUGCGUAGAUAUUGGGAGGAACACCAGUGGCGAAGGCGGCUCACUGGACCGGAACUGACGCUGAGGCGCGAAAGCGUGGGGAGCAAACGGG